CCGUAAUUUAACAUCUUAGAGUUUAAAGGUUGCCUAUAUACAAUGUUGUAUGUAUUAUUUUGCAUGUCGUUGUUACUAACCUUCAUAAUCAGUGUUCGGGCAUGCCCUCUAGAAUAUGAAAGCACAGAUGGAACAGAACUGAACAAUACGCUACUUCUGUUGAAUGACACUGAUAUCGAAGAUAGAACUGUUAUAACUAACAGGCGAAUCCUCUGGCCAUCGUCAUCAUCUGGACUUGUUUUUUAUUCCAUACGUAAAUGCCAACCUUGAACCUAGAGUGGUAAAUCUUCUAAGACAUUAUAUUGAACAGUUCAGUCUCCAUUCGUGUAUACGCUGGGUUCCAAGAACACAUGAAAGGGAUUAUGUUGUGUUCACAAGAGGCAACUGGGGG
Long non-coding RNA from Homalodisca vitripennis (glassy-winged sharpshooter), 391 nucleotides. RefSeq lists it as uncharacterized. The record is from RefSeq and is a predicted model, not a curated record. The transcript has 3 exons. NCBI's taxonomy places the organism in Eukaryota, Metazoa, Arthropoda, Insecta, Hemiptera, Cicadellidae.